Molecule: ribosomal RNA, 1323 nt
Filed under: Brevibacterium casei
Lineage: Bacteria; Bacillati; Actinomycetota; Actinomycetes; Micrococcales; Brevibacteriaceae
Description: bacterial SSU rRNA
Rfam family: Bacterial small subunit ribosomal RNA
Source: RNAcentral
GGGUGUGAUGAGUGGCGAACGGGUGAGUAACACGUGAGUAACCUGCCCCUGACUUCGGGAUAAGCCCGGGAAACUGGGUCUAAUACCGGAUACGACUGCCGGACGCAUGUCUGGUGGUGGAAAGUUUUUUCGGUUGGGGAUGGGCUCGCGGCCUAUCAGUUUGUUGGUGAGGUAAUGGCUCACCAAGACGACGACGGGUAGCCGGCCUGAGAGGGCGACCGGCCACACUGGGACUGAGACACGGCCCAGACUCCUACGGGAGGCAGCAGUGGGGAAUAUUGCACAAUGGGGGAAACCCUGAUGCAGCGACGCAGCGUGCGGGAUGACGGCCUUCGGGUUGUAAACCGCUUUCAGCAGGGAAGAAGCGCAAGUGACGGUACCUGCAGAAGAAGUACCGGCUAACUACGUGCCAGCAGCCGCGGUAAUACGUAGGGUACGAGCGUUGUCCGGAAUUAUUGGGCGUAAAGAGCUCGUAGGUGGUUGGUCACGUCUGCUGUGGAAACGCAACGCUUAACGUUGCGCGUGCAGUGGGUACGGGCUGACUAGAGUGCAGUAGGGGAGUCUGGAAUUCCUGGUGUAGCGGUGAAAUGCGCAGAUAUCAGGAGGAACACCGGUGGCGAAGGCGGGACUCUGGGCUGUAACUGACACUGAGGAGCGAAAGCAUGGGGAGCGAACAGGAUUAGAUACCCUGGUAGUCCAUGCCGUAAACGUUGGGCACUAGGUGUGGGGGGCAUUCCACGUUCUCCGCGCCGUAGCUAACGCAUUAAGUGCCCCGCCUGGGGAGUACGGUCGCAAGGCUAAAACUCAAAGGAAUUGACGGGGGCCCGCACAAGCGGCGGAGCAUGCGGAUUAAUUCGAUGCAACGCGAAGAACCUUACCAAGGCUUGACAUACACCGGACCGUCCUGGAAACAGGUCCUCUUCUUUGAAGCUGGUGUACAGGUGGUGCAUGGUUGUCGUCAGCUCGUGUCGUGAGAUGUUGGGUUAAGUCCCGCAACGAGCGCAACCCUCGUUCUAUGUUGCCAGCACGUGAUGGUGGGAACUCAUAGGAGACUGCCGGGGUCAACUCGGAGGAAGGUGGGGAUGACGUCAAAUCAUCAUGCCCUUUAUGUCUUGGGCUUCACGCAUGCUACAAUGGCUGGUACAGAGAGAGGCGAACCCGUGAGGGCAAGCGAAUCCCUUAAAGCCAGUCUCAGUUCGGAUCGUAGUCUGCAAUUCGACUACGUGAAGUCGGAGUCGCUAGUAAUCGCAGAUCAGCAACGCUGCGGUGAAUACGUUCCCGGGCCUUGUACACACCGCCCGUCAAGUCACGAAAGUCGGUAAC